RNAcentral lists this ribosomal RNA (301 nucleotides) under uncultured bacterium. Its description in RNAcentral is "partial 16S ribosomal RNA". It matches the Rfam family "Bacterial small subunit ribosomal RNA", at positions 509 to 809 of the family's 1533-position model. The record is from RNAcentral.
CAGCAGCCGCGGUAAUACGGAGGGUGCAAGCGUUAAUCGGAAUCACUGGGCGUAAAGCGCACGCAGGCGGUUUGUUAAGUCAGAUGUGAAAUCCCCGAGCUUAACUUGGGAACUGCAUUUGAAACUGGCAAGCUAGAGUCUUGUAGAGGGGGGUAGAAUUCCAGGUGUAGCGGUGAAAUGCGUAGAAAUCUGGAGGAAUACCGGUGGCGAAGGCGGCCCCCUGGACAAAGACUGACGCUCAGGUGCGAAAGCGUGGGGAGCAAACAGGAUUAGAUACCCGGGUAGUCCCUGUCUCUUAUAA